CUGCGGCAGCGACACUCAGGUGUUGUUGGGUAGGGGAGCGUUCUGUAAGCCUGUGAAGGUGUGUCGUGAGGCAUGCUGGAGGUAUCAGAAGUGCGAAUGCUGACAUAAGUAACGAUAAAGCGGGUGAAAAGCCCGCUCGCCGGAAGACCAAGGGUUCCUGUCCAACGUUAAUCGGGGCAGGGUGAGUCGACCCCUAAGGCGAGGCCGAAAGGCGUAGUCGAUGGGAAACGGGUUAAUAUUCCCGUACUUGGUGUUACUGCGAAGGGGGGACGGAGAAGGCUAUGUUGGCCGGGCGACGGUUGUCCCGGUUUAAGCGUGUAGGUGUGUGUUCCAGGUAAAUCCGGUUCACUUUAACACUGAGGCGUGAUGACGAGGCACUACGGUGCUGAAGCAACAAAUGCCCUGCUUCCAGGAAAAGCCUCUAAGCAUCAGGUAACAUCAAAUCGUACCCCAAACCGACACAGGUGGUCAGGUAGAGAAUACCAAGGCGCUUGAGAGAACUCGGGUGAAGGAACUAGGCAAAAUGGUGCCGUAACUUCGGGAGAAGGCACGCUGACACGUAGGUGAAGUGAUUUACUCAUGGAGCUGAAGUCAGUCGAAGAUACCAGCUGGCUGCAACUGUUUAUUAAAAACACAGCACUGUGCAAACACGAAAGUGGACGUAUACGGUGUGACGCCUGCCCGGUGCCGGAAGGUUAAUUGAUGGGGUCAGCGCAAGCGAAGCUCCUGAUCGAAGCCCCGGUAAACGGCGGCCGUAACUAUAACGGUCCUAAGGUAGCGAAAUUCCUUGUCGGGUAAGUUCCGACCUGCACGAAUGGCGUAAUGAUGGCCAGGCUGUCUCCACCCGAGACUCAGUGAAAUUGAACUCGCUGUGAAGAUGCAGUGUACCCGCGGCAAGACGGAAAGACCCCGUGAACCUUUACUAUAGCUUGACACUGAACAUUGAGCCUUGAUGUGUAG
This 960-nucleotide ribosomal RNA is filed under the name Salmonella enterica. RNAcentral's name for it is "partial 23S ribosomal RNA". It matches the Rfam family "Bacterial large subunit ribosomal RNA", at positions 1200 to 2141 of the family's 2925-position model. Lineage: Bacteria; Pseudomonadati; Pseudomonadota; Gammaproteobacteria; Enterobacterales; Enterobacteriaceae. The record is from RNAcentral.